Camelus dromedarius (Arabian camel) is the source of this 3150-nucleotide long non-coding RNA. RefSeq lists it as uncharacterized. The transcript is spliced from 2 exons. Lineage: Eukaryota; Metazoa; Chordata; Mammalia; Artiodactyla; Camelidae. The record is from RefSeq and is a predicted model, not a curated record.
CGGAACCGCCUCUGUGGGCGAGGGGACGCGAGCCAGGGAGCUGACCGCGCCGGAGCCUCGGCCCCCAGGCCGCAGACUCAGCCUCUGUGGGACCCCCAUUCAUAAAUGCGGAAGACGGGACACAGAGAAGGGAACUACCAAGGUCACACAGGAGUUAGUGGCUCAGCGUGGGUAAGAACCCAGGUCUCCCGGCCCAGCGCUGCUCUGCACAGCGUCCCACAGCGACUGGCGGUUUGCUGUUGGGUAAAUGGAGUCUUGCCCAACACAUGAGCAGCAGAGCCAGGACUUGAACUCAUGCAUCUGGUUCCAGACUCCCCAUGCAGCCUCCAAGCAGCUGCCCAGGGAAAGGGAGCUGGGCUGGCCCAGGCUUGUGCUCCAGACUUAGUCCUCCCCGAUGAUAAAGUUGCACUUUGCAAAACUGCUCCUCUGGGUUUCUCUGGGCCCAACUCUGGCUUCCUGCCUCCAGGAGAUCCCCUCUGACUUCCGAGAGUAGGUGACCCUUCUGACUCAUAGCGUCACUGCUGGGAAGUGGCGCCAGAGCCCUGCCCCCGCCACCCCCCUCCCUCCAGGUCACAGGGUAUUGAGCCAGGAGGAGCAGGGAGGCACAUGGGCUGGAAACUUGGGCCUCCUAGAGAUCAGGGUCUCAAGGCAGCUCCCCCCGGGACACCAGGGAGCAGCCAGGCAGCUGGGUGUCUAGACCCUGUCUCCUGGGCGCUGCUGGGGGAGGAGGUCAGGCGGGGACCCUGUGGUAGUAAAGAGGCUUAAACUGCAGCUGGGGGAGACUUAAUCAGAGGGUCAGGGAAGGCCUAGGAGGGCACCCGCCCUCUUCGGGGUAUGUCCAGCCUCAGCCCAGCCCUGCUUCCCCCUCAGGUGUGUUCCCACCUCCCUCCACCCAUUUCCUCCCCGCUGCUUUUCCUCUUUCUAUCCCUCUUUUCCAAACCCCAGCGUUUCUCCACAUCGGCUGCCUGUAUGCAUAUCCCCUUCCCCGCGCGCGCACACACACGCACACACACACACAGACACACACACACACAGACACACGCUCAUACACAUGCGAUACUCCAUGUUUGGCCCUGAGCCCCUUCUUGGACUGGAGUUUGAGCCUCAUGUCUUCUCCUGAGCUGAGCCCCACCCCCCUAGCCCAGGCAUCUUGGGCCUCCAUCUUCUCUCCUGAUGGGAGCGGUGGGCAUCUGAGCAGAUGGGAACCUGCGGGCUGCAGGGGCCCCUCUACGCAGCAGGAAGCACCCACGCCACAGUGGUGAAAAUCCUCAGCUGGGGGGGGGGUGGUGGUGUGGAGUGGGCAGCCAUCUGGCCCAGAUCUCUCAGGCUCAGCCUAGCUCUCAACAGCAACCCUGCAGUAAGAAAUCAGAACGCCUAAGAGAAACCCUUAGGCUCUAGAAACGUGCCCAGGGGUGGCCUGAACUUGAGUCCUGUCCCGUGGUUCUUUGAAAUUAGCAGCAGGCUCUGGCAUUGGGAGGAAAUGUCUAAGAGCUGACAUGAGUUCUAGGGGUGGGGAGGGCAAAGUCCUGGGCCCCUAGCCCCAGCCCCCAGCCCUGCCCAGCAGCUGUGCCUGGUUCCUGGGAGAAUAGACACUGGUCCUCCCUGCUGGCAGACAGCCCAGCCCACCUGGAGACAGAGCCUGGUCCUGGCCACCAGCAGGAGCUCAGCACCCCAGAGAAGGCCUACUGGGGACAGGCACUGAGACCUUAGCUCAGUGGGGGCUCAGCCUGACUUCCUCUGUUACAGUAGGAGACAGACUUAGCCAUAGAGGAAACCAGAAUUUGUUAUAAAUAGCAAAAAAAGAGAAAGAACUGCUGUGGAUUACAAAUACUCUGUCAGUCUUUGAAAACAAAACAAAACAAAACAAGCUAUUUUUGGUUUCAAAUGUCAGUGAGGGCUUAAUGUGCCACAGAACCUCAGACACGGGGUCUCCGUCCAUGCUGCUUCUCACACAGCGUCAGGGCCACGGCGGGAGCAGCGGCCGCGGGAGCAGCGGCCACGGUGGGAGCAGCGGCCACGGGAGCCCUCAGGUCAUCUAGUUCGACAGCUUCAUUUUCAGGUGCGGAAACUGAGGCCUAGAGAAGUGGGGGAACUUGUCCAAAGCUGCACAAAAAGCCGGUGAGCAGGCACAGACAGUCCCAGAGAGGGCAGUUCCCAUGAUAGCGCGGUAGGACCCAAAGGCUGAACAUCGGAGCCGGGGCUGUGUGUGUGUCAGGUUUGCAUCAAGUGAAGUCUGUGCAAAGUGACAGAAGACAGCCUGGAAGCCAGAGUGUGGUGACCCGAGUCACGGAGAUCUGGGUUCAGAUUCCGGAUCUGCCGCUCAAAGCCAUGUGAGGACUCCCACCCCUGGAACGAAGUCAGUCACACCCACCUGUUCUCAGGGCUGCGAUGAGGUGGGAACAGGGGAAGCUGUCCCGAGCACCCAGCACACGACUGCGCACAAGAUGGAAACGCAUUUCCUUCAUUUCCUAUGGCUUCUCCACCCCUUCUUCUGAGCCCCCACCUCUGACUGGGCAGAGGGCAGAUUUGUCAUCAAGACCUUAGGGGACAGGAAGGCUGAGAAGAGUGUGAGUGAGGCUGGGGGCAGGGGUGUGGCGAUGAGGUCUCCUGCCUCAGCAUCGUGGUUGAUGGGGGGCGGGUGGAGUGUCUCCAGCCUCCGCUGGCUGCGGGGAAGUGUUUGCCGAGGCAGGAGGGCCCCGGCGGGCUGGACCCCUGCAGAGCGUGGCCCCCUCACCACACGCAGCCACGCUGAUAUGUUUGGAGGCGUCUCUGAGCCAUGUCUCACUCAGCUCAGAGCUGCCCUGUGCCAAGGUUGUUUCAACCCUCACAAUGGCCUGUGAGGCAAAUACCGUUAUUGUCUUCAUUUUGCAGAAGAGGAAAUGGGCUCAGAGGUCCCUUGGCUGGCGUGGUGGUCAUUAGUGCUUCCACCAAGUAUUUCCCAACCCUCUGCCUCUGGCACAAGGCUGGCCGACGUGUCCUCACUCCCAUGUUAGGUGUGGCCCUGUGACUCCGAUUGACCAGUGAAACGUGGGCAGGACCCAAGUGUGUUACUCGGAGGCGGAAGCUCCCCGCAGCCCGGCCCCUCACCCAAGUUCACGUUGUCUGUAGACUGUGCGUGAGAAAUAAACUUUGAUUGUGCUAAGCCGCCAA